UCAAAUUACUCCGCCGGCCAACGUACUACUCCUUUGUCAGACCGAGCUCGUCUAGUCCACUUUUAUACAGCUAAGCUCUGCACGAACCUCGAGAUGAUCGAGCUCCCCAGCCUCGAUCACCUCCUUUAAAAUCACCGUGUCUGUCACACACAACUUGAAACCCCUAACCAUGCAUGUCUGUAAUAUUAGUUCAGGCUUUGCUUUUGCCCAUGUGACCCAAGUUUUGGUUUUUGUUUAGCCUGUCUGUGUUUUCUGUAGCAUCGAUUCCUCAUUCAUUACCCCAAAAAAAAAAAAAAAAAAACCUUUGUCAACUGUGUUCAGACUUCAGAACUCUCUUAGUUCUCUCCACCACCAUGACCACCAACACCACCGAAAAAGAGUCGACUGCAACAAAUCCCGACGAUAACAAUGAUGAAGUCAUCAUCUGGGGUUUGGGCGGACUUGGAAAUUAUGAAGGUCGAAUGGUACGUUUAACCUUGUGUUCCUUUCAAAUGGGAGGCUUGGGAAUGAGUUAUGUCUACACCGUUGGCUCGAAACUGCCAUAUAUCUCUUGCAUCUCUUGCCUCCGACUGGCCACCUGAGUGAUAAGGUUGGUGACCUUGGAAGCCUCACUGUCAUGCAAGAUAGUGUACUUACAACUUGCGCGGAGGCCCAAUACCAGAGAGAACCAGUGCACUUCGGCUCUGGUCAGGCAUGUCAAAGCCCCUGUGCAUCUGGUAAGUGUCUCUCUCUGAAUUGGUUGAUUGGGUUUUGGGUUGUGCGUGUUUUAAUUUUGGGUGGUGUUUAUUUGUUUGACUUUUGUUGAAGAUAGGAUAUUUGGGUUGUGGUUGACUUUUGUUGGGUUUUGGAGAUCUGGGUGAUUGGGAUACUUUGAGCUGGUUUUGAUUGUCUUUCAUGGUUUUGAUUUUGGGUUUUCUUUGUUGUGGCUGAAUUGGCUCAGUUGAGUAAGUAAUUAGCUUUUUGGGAUAUUUUGAAGAUUCGAUUUCUCAGUUCUCCCGCGACAAAUGCACAUAUGAAAUUCAGCAAUCCAAAUCCCAAAUUCUCUUCUGUUACACGCAGAUCUGGCGAAGAAGAAGAUGGCCUUAAAAUCAGCAUCUUAUAAUUACCUCAGCUAAUUGUUCAUGGAUCUUAGAUACACAGGUGAAGGCCUCUGUGACUGUUGAACGUGUCGAUUGACGCAGUCGGAAAGAUCACCUAAGGUUUACAAGCAAUAAACCUAGAACAAAGUUUCUAGAGUCCACCAGAGAUAAAAGAGAUAAUUCUCAAUUUGAUUGAUAAUAUGAUAAAAGAUAGGUUCUGCAGCCGUUUAAGGUUGCAUAUAUAUGAGAAAAGAAACCCUAGGGCGACUAACAAUAAAACCCUAAAGCCCACGGGUAAAAAUAAAACAAAUCCAAAACAAACUAGGAAAUUGAAAAUUCUGAAAAACAGUAAAUUGCAGUUUUGAGACCUUAAACGACCCCGAAAACCCGAAAAAGCCCACACGUCAUGGCAUAGCGACGAGUUUUGUUCCUGGCGCGAUUCCCUUUCCGGAAAGCUAUGGCACAAUCGAAUCGGACACCGAAUUCCAAAGUUACAAUAGUAACUUUGGUUUUCCUCCUUUUGCACGAUCGAGCUGCUCUUCAAUUCGGACUGCCAUCCGUUCUACAUCAAUUCGCAUCCCUCUUAGAUUGAUUUGCUAAUCUUACUGGCAUUGUCUUGUAGGAAUUCAUAACAUGCAAACAAAGACGGAAUCUCUACAUAACUCAAGUGAACGUGGCAUUGGCAACGCUAGUAUUAUGUACAAACCAAAAAUUCAUAGCUCUAUCGUGUGAAUU
Long non-coding RNA from Rosa rugosa (rugosa rose), 1814 nucleotides. RefSeq lists it as uncharacterized. The record is from RefSeq and is a predicted model, not a curated record. NCBI's taxonomy places the organism in Eukaryota, Viridiplantae, Streptophyta, Magnoliopsida, Rosales, Rosaceae. The transcript is spliced from 3 exons.